AUUGAACGCUGGCGGCAGGCCUAACACAUGCAAGUCGAACGAGUGGCGGACGGGUGAGUAAUGUCUGGGAAACUGCCUGAUGGAGGGGGAUAACUACUGGAAACGGUAGCUAAUACCGCAUACCAUCGGAUGUGCCCAGAUGGGAUUAGCUAGUAGGUGGGGUAAAGGCUCACCUAGGCGACGAUCCCUAGCUGGUCUGAGAGGAUGACCAGCCACACUGGAACUGAGACACGGUGCAGAAUCCGACGGGAGGCAGGAGGGGGGAAUAUUGCACAAGGGGCGAAAGCCUGAUGCAGCCAUGCCGCGUGUAGGAAGAAGGCCUGCGGGUUGGAAAGUACUUUCAGCGGGGAGGCGUUACCCGCAGAAGAAGCACCGGCUAACUCCGUGCCAGCAGCCGCGGUAAUUC
Molecule: ribosomal RNA, 406 nt
Filed under: uncultured bacterium
Lineage: Bacteria
Description: partial 16S ribosomal RNA
Rfam family: Bacterial small subunit ribosomal RNA
Source: RNAcentral